RNAcentral lists this ribosomal RNA (591 nucleotides) under uncultured fungus. Its description in RNAcentral is "eukaryotic LSU rRNA". The stretch from base 218 to 371 matches the Rfam family "5.8S ribosomal RNA". Lineage: Eukaryota; Fungi. The record is from RNAcentral.
CGUACAGGUUUCCGUAGGUGAACCUGCGGAAGGAUCAUUAUCAAGAACGUGCUAGCCUUGAUUGGCAGUGGUUAUGUUCAACCCUUUGUGAACCAAAAAAACCUUUAGCUUCGGUAGCUGGGUUGCGGAAACGCUGCCUGUCAGUCUGCCGUUAGCACCUUUACAUAAACUUGCUUUAGAAAAUAUUGUCUGAAUCAAAAAUUUCGAAUGAAAUUAAAACUUUCAACAACGGAUCUCUUGGUUCUCGCAUCGAUGAAGAACGCAGCGAAACGCGAUAGUUAAUGUGAAUUGCAGAAUUCAGUGAAUCAUCGAGUCUUUGAACGCACAUUGCGCCCAUCGGUAUUCCGUUGGGCAUGCCUGUUCGAGCGUCAUUACAAACCCUCAGCGCAAGCUGGUUGUUGGACCUGAGCUGCUUAUGCUGCUCCGGUCUUAAAGUAGUAUGUAACGCUGACCGCCUAACACCUGGCUGGAACAUAGUAAAAUCUCUUGCUUGUUCAGGUCUUGUGGGCGAGCUUCGGCCUGCAGAAUACCCAACAUUUUUUNCAAGGUUUGACCUCGGAAUCAGGCAAGGAUACCCGCUGGAACUUAAGC